UAAUCAAAUCCUUAAAAAAUCCUAACCAAAUUCUAAUCAAACUCUAAAUAAAUCCUAGUCAAAUCCUAAAUAAAUCCUAGUCAAAUCCUAAAGAAGCCUUAACUAAUCCUAAAUAAAUCUAACCAAACUUUAAAUAAAUCCUAGUCAAAUCCUAAAGAAACCUUAAUCAAUCCUAAAUAAAUCCUAAAAAAAUCCUAAAAAAAUCCUAAUCAAAUCUACAUCAAAUCCUAAAUAAAUCUUAGUCAAACUCUAGACAAAUCCUAAAUAAGUCCUAAUUAAAUCCUAAACAAAUUCUAAACAAAUUCUAAAUAAAUCUUAACCAAAUCUUAACCUAAAUCAAAUCCUAAUCCUAACCAAAUCUUAAAUCAAAUCCAAAAUCCUAAUCCUAAUCUUAACCAAAUCCUAACCCUAAUCAAACCUUAUAUCAAUCCAAAAUCCUAACCCUAAUUCUAAAUCAAACUCUAAACCAAAUCCUAAUCAAUCUCAAAUAAUUCCUAUAGCAGAUUUAAACUUCAAUAAUUAAUGAAUUAACCAUUGAUUUUAACUCAAAUUUUAAAUAUUUUUUAAAAACUAAGUUGACAAAAACUAAAAAAAAAUUAAAAAAGAUCGAAAAUACCAAAAAGAAAAUAUUCUCAAAAAUAUACUUGGGUGUAGAGUGGCCUCCUUUUUCAACCUUGAUGCCAAUCUUCCAGAGCCAAGUACUCUUGAUUGAACCAUUAUUUUUCUUCCAAACUUUACAUACUUAUUAGAAAUAAAGUUGACUACUUUUAUAAAAAAAAAUUGCUUCAAUCUAAGUAGUAGAUUGACAUAUAUCUAAGAAAACCUCAUUAGUCCUCAAAAUCCUAAAUUUUGAGAUCAUAACCUAAAAAAACCUUCAUACUUUUCAAUCUAACUAUUUGAUCAAAUCCAAAUUUACUACACACAUCAAGCGCAACUACAUCCACAAAUCCAAAAAAAAUUCAUGGGUAGAUCUACUACCAAACUUACAAAAUUCUCCAAAAAGUAUCAUCUAUUUUAUUUCACAAAUCUAGAGUCACUCAAAACAAAUCCUAACUUUACAAAGCUCUUACAAAGUCAAUAUACACUCAAAUCACUCAAAAUCAAUGCUUAAAGAAAUCUUAUUAGGUUUCUCCUAAACUCUACUUUCCAAUCUCCAAAAGAAUCCUAGAAUCAUUGUCAAGGCUUGGUUUUGUGCCUUG
RNAcentral lists this long non-coding RNA (1199 nucleotides) under Physcomitrium patens. Its description in RNAcentral is "long non-coding RNA (PPAT_LNC009167)". The record is from RNAcentral. Lineage: Eukaryota; Viridiplantae; Streptophyta; Bryopsida; Funariales; Funariaceae.